This 61-nucleotide non-coding RNA is filed under the name Paenibacillus pini. RNAcentral describes it as "Fluoride sequence". It matches the Rfam family "Fluoride riboswitch aptamer (crcB RNA motif)". Lineage: Bacteria; Bacillati; Bacillota; Bacilli; Caryophanales; Paenibacillaceae. The record is from RNAcentral. RNAcentral also lists the same sequence under 1 other name.
AUAAAGAAAGGCGAUGGAGUUCGCCAUAACUGCCUUCGUGGCUAAUGACUCCUACCGGGGA